CGAAAGAGUAGCUAAUACCGCAUACUAUCUGAGGAUGAAAGCGGGGGACCUUCGGGCCUCGCGCGAUUGGAGCGGCCGAUGGCAGAUUAGGUAGUUGGUGGGAUAAAAGCUUACCAAGCCGACGAUCUGUAGCUGGUCUGAGAGGACGACCAGCCACACUGGGACUGAGACACGGCCCAGACUCCUACGGGAGGCAGCAGUGGGGAAUUUUGGACAAUGGGCGAAAGCCUGAUCCAGCAAUGCCGCGUGCAGGAUGAAGGCCUUCGGGUUGUAAACUGCUUUUGUACGGAACGAAAAAGCUCCUUCUAAUACAGGGGGCCCAUGACGGUACCGUAAGAAUAAGCACCGGCUAACUACGUGCCAGCAGCCGCGGUAAUACGUAGGGUGCGAGCGUUAAUCGGAAUUACUGGGCGUAAAGCGUGCGCAGGCGGUUAUGUAAGACAGAUGUGAAAUCCCCGGGCUCAACCUGGGAACUGCAUUUGUGACUGCAUGGCUAGAGUACGGUAGAGGGGGAUGGAAUU
RNAcentral lists this ribosomal RNA (521 nucleotides) under Delftia sp. RNAcentral describes it as "bacterial SSU rRNA". It matches the Rfam family "Bacterial small subunit ribosomal RNA", at positions 152 to 668 of the family's 1533-position model. The record is from RNAcentral. Lineage: Bacteria; Pseudomonadati; Pseudomonadota; Betaproteobacteria; Burkholderiales; Comamonadaceae.